CUUCCGGUACCGUCAGUAGUUACGGUAUUAAUCGUAACCGUUUCGUUCCGGCUGAAAGAGCUUUACAACCCGAAGGCCUUCUUCACUCACGCGGCAUGGCUGGAUCAGGGUUGCCCCCAUUGUCCAAAAUUCC
Molecule: ribosomal RNA, 133 nt
Filed under: uncultured bacterium
Lineage: Bacteria
Description: partial 16S ribosomal RNA
Source: RNAcentral